GUUCAUGUGGCUUUUUUUUUUCUCCACCCACUGAGCUGAUUUUAUUCUCUUUUGUCCACAGAGCCAGUGGGGAACUUGGGUGGUUCUUUUCUGUCUUCUGCAUGUGGUUUGUGAAGUUGUCUCAGAACUAACGGGUUGGAACUGAGAGCUAUUGUGGAGCCUGAUCCUUUUGUGACAAGUCCUAGAACUGAAAAGGGGAUCUGUUAUCGGAAUCCUAUUGUCAUAUACACGACCUACCUCAAGUGGCCAAAUAUUUUCUAAGGAACUUGUGGGCAUUCUAAAGCUGAUGGAUCUGCUGUAGAAGAAUGGACAUUCUCCCUAAGCAAGCCCAGAUGAAGCCAGCUUGCAGGGUUCACAACUAGAUAUGAAGGAUGGUUACACUUCUCCUCUGGUGGCAUGCAUAACACCCGCCAGUCUAUGAAACCUAGCAGUAGGUUAUAGAUUCCAGGUGUCAUAUCAUCUCAUUGCAAGAAGAGCUACUUCAGUGAAGAAGUUAUUUUGAGAGCAGGGUUUCUCUGUGUAGUCCUGGAUGUCCU
Long non-coding RNA from Mastomys coucha (southern multimammate mouse), 536 nucleotides. RefSeq lists it as uncharacterized. Lineage: Eukaryota; Metazoa; Chordata; Mammalia; Rodentia; Muridae. The transcript is spliced from 5 exons. The record is from RefSeq and is a predicted model, not a curated record.